Pogonomyrmex barbatus (red harvester ant) is the source of this 804-nucleotide long non-coding RNA. The record is from RefSeq and is a predicted model, not a curated record. NCBI's taxonomy places the organism in Eukaryota, Metazoa, Arthropoda, Insecta, Hymenoptera, Formicidae.
GGAUAAUCGUCCUUCUUCGUCCUCGAUGAUCGACCCGCAGGUCGACUACAGAUCGACUUGCGGGAUCUGUUUGGGAUAAAAAAAAAGGCUCUUAGCAUUACUUUAAUAUGAGUGAGUUUGCAGAGGGGAAAGAGCCAGGCGGAAUUAUCAGCAGGGGAAGCAAACAACGAGCGAAGACACAGUAGAAAAUCAGUGGGAACAAUCAAAAGAUAGGAACGGGAGGGUACGCCAUUAUACGGCGUAAUUGGCCGAAUUGGAAAGUCUGAGGUCUCCCCGACUCUUUACCCUUCUACUACUUACUCUCGUUUAUAUCCCUCAUAUUGAUCGGCAUAAAUACGAAAUGCAGUUUGCCCCGUCCCUUCGGGAGGUCUCGCCGCGUCUUGUGCACGUCUGCGUAAUAAUGUAACAUCACCCAGUAGACCAGUAGCUUAAUCCUAAAGUACGAGAGAGCGUCGGGUUUCACUAGGCCACGGGAGUGGCAAAGAAAGAGGGAAUUCAUAUCUGUCCAAAUAAAUUUGAUUGAAUUUAUAAACCAUAAAUGUCCGAAAGCUCAAUAAAUUCUCACGAUUAAUUUAUAUAAUUACAAUUUUAAUCUAUUACAAUAUUAUUUUCAUGUGAACUAUAUAUACACGAUCGAUAUUCAUUAUUAUUAUAUUUAUUUUUAUUAUAUUAUUAUUAUUAUUAUUAUUAUUAUUAUUAUUAUUAUUGUCAUAUAGUUUAGAGAGGACGAAUAAAUGACACGUGGCUUAGAACGGUGAAAAAAUACUAGUAAAAAGAGAGACAUUAGACCGCCGGUGCGAUUCU